Long non-coding RNA from Dermacentor silvarum, 1899 nucleotides. RefSeq lists it as uncharacterized. The transcript is spliced from 3 exons. NCBI's taxonomy places the organism in Eukaryota, Metazoa, Arthropoda, Arachnida, Ixodida, Ixodidae. The record is from RefSeq and is a predicted model, not a curated record.
AUGUUUGUUAAUCAGUUGGCAGUCUUGCGGGGCGCACAAAACAAAGCGACGCUUCGCAUUUAUAGCUGCGCCGUUCGUUUGUGCGCAGGCGCAAACUGGACGGCUGCCAGGCGUUUUGCGGAACCCGAGCUCUGAUUCAGCAUUCUUCGUUUCCUCGUUUCCACUCUGACGUUCUUUCUUUCUUUUAUUUCUUUUUAAUCAGUACAAACGGAGGACCUUGCUAUCGGCUGGCGCUAUCCGCGUACGCCUUCGGCUCCGGAAACGUUUCAAGGAGCCGACGGGCCCGUGAAACAGUGCAUAGAAAGCACGCGGUAAAUUUGCCGUAUUAUGGUGACCCACACUUCACCAGUGGCGAUGCCUUGCUUGAUCUGUUUGAGAGACAGCGCGUUCUGAGCGAAGUUCGGACGUACUACAGCACAUAUAAUGUGGUGCGUUUUCAGUGGCGGAUGCGAACGACCUAGUUAACUGCUGUUUAGGCGAAGCUGCGCUGAGAACGAAUGCAACGGAAGCAUCCUGAGGCUUUCAGGACCGUAUAGGGAUGAAACCGCCGCCGCCGCUGCUGGAUUUUGCUAAGACCGGCCGCAGCUAGGUUCUCGAAGGGGGAAUACCGCGACCAGUGCACGACGUCUUGCAGAAGAAGAGGAAAAAAAAUACAAGAAGCAGCAAAGGUUGCUUGAUCACCGAGGUGCAGGUUGGCUAGCACUUGGCUCUGCCGGGACACAUCCUGCUGCGGGCGACGGUGGCGGCGAGGCAUUUCCGAAAAGGUGGUCAUCACUGUUGCCGUCUUUCUCUGCAUUCGCGCUGUAUGGGUGGGUCUGCAAAUGGGACCCAACCUCUUCACGGGACUCGACCUGGUGACCGAGGAAGAACCGACCUCCCGCCAAUCCCCCUCUGAUAUCCAGCCCGGCCGCCGGGAAUCGCCGCCCCUAGAUGACAGCAGCGUGUCCGGCGGCUGAAGCUUCUCACCGUGGCCUUUUUGCUUGGGAAACGGCCUGCACUGAAAAAAAAUGACAGGAAUUCUUUUUACACGACUAAGUGAAAUACCACGUGAAGCGGUAGCCUUACACGUACAACGAACCUCGUCGAAGUACAUUCGCAGUCUUUAUGGCCGGAAACACUUGAGUGUCUGCCUCUCGAUACAGGCACAACAUUCUGUUGUACGGCUGUCAGAAUCUCGUAGUUUGUAGCCUACAAGGACUCAUUUGCUCAUCGCGCAAAAGACUAGGACGAAAAAUUGAAAAAUAUAUUCGAAAUAUUGCCACAUGAAGCAACAGUUCCGUUGUACGUAAUUUAGCAUACUAAAUGCUGAAAUGUACGCUUUUUACAUUUUACAACGUGUUAGUCUUUCGUGACUCGACACAGAAGUGCUUGUGCUACAACAAUUAGCGGGCCCGUGUGGGCCCACGUACAGCUUAUAAGUCAUGCAGAAAGGCGCUGCUCACAUAACCACGGUGGUUUGACCUGUACCUGUAGUAAUUGUUUCUUUGCGUAUUUGGUCAAACAGUGCCUUGCGCUUCAACUCAAAUUUCGCCUGUGCCAGCUUACAGACCCAGCAGGUGCUACAGCUGACUGUUGGAUGCAGUGCAUCUGGACGCUGCUGCAUCGGACGUGCUGCUUCCCGCCGCGAUAAAAAAUGCAGAUCGCUGCACAUGAAAACGCCAUGUAGUGUAACUCUCUCUAAAAUUUGUGAGCACAACACAGACAGUAAAACUGGCAGGUGAAAGUGCUUUUCAAGUAAGUCGCAAUGCGGACUCAUCUGAUAACUGUUGGUUGCAGUUUGUUCUGCACAUAAUCGUCUCUACAUUAUGUUGUGAGUAGGACUCGCAGAUAGCUCUAUUAUCGGACUGUGCUGGCCACACAACUUUUCAUCCAUUGAAACAUAACUGUUUGGUUCUGUCA